RNAcentral lists this ribosomal RNA (457 nucleotides) under uncultured bacterium. RNAcentral describes it as "partial 16S ribosomal RNA". It matches the Rfam family "Bacterial small subunit ribosomal RNA", at positions 338 to 795 of the family's 1533-position model. The record is from RNAcentral.
CCUACGGGAGGCAGCAGUGGGGAAUUUUGCACAAUGGGGGCAACCCUGAUGCAGCGACGCCGCGUGAGUGAAGAAGUAUUUCGGUACGUAAAGCUCUAUCAGCAGGGAAGAAAAAAAGUCCUUUGGACUUUGGACGGUACCUGACUAAGAAGCCCCGGCUAACUACGUGCCAGCAGCCGCGGUAAUACGUAAGGGGCAAGCUUUAUCCGGAUUUACUGGGUGUAAAGGGAGCGGAGACGGCAGCGCAAGUCUGGAGUGAAAUGCCGGGGCCCAACCCCGGAGCUGCUUUGGAAACUGGGCAGAUGGAGUGCAGGAGAGGUAAGCGGAAUUCCGAGUGUAGCGGUGAAAUGCGUAGAUAUUAGGAGGAACACCAGUGGCGAAGGCGGCUUACUGGACUGUAACUGACGUUGAGGCUCGAAAGCGUGGGGAGCAAACAGGAUUAGAUACCCUAGUAGUC